This 261-nucleotide ribosomal RNA is filed under the name uncultured archaeon. RNAcentral describes it as "partial 16S ribosomal RNA". It matches the Rfam family "Archaeal small subunit ribosomal RNA", at positions 748 to 1009 of the family's 1478-position model. The record is from RNAcentral.
CAGCCGUAAACUAUGCUCGCUAGGUGUCAGGCAUGGCGCGACCGUGUCUGGUGCCGCAGGGAAGCCGUGAAGCGAGCCACCUGGGAAGUACGGCCGCAAGGCUGAGACUUAAAGGAAUUGGCGGGGGAGCACAACAAUGGGUGGAGCCUGCGGUUUAAUUGGACUCAACGCCGGGAAUCUCACCGGAUAAGACAGCGGAAUGAUUGCCGGGCUGAAGACUCUGCAUGACUAGCUGAGAGGAGGUGCAUGGCGUAGACGUCU